This 520-nucleotide ribosomal RNA is filed under the name uncultured bacterium. RNAcentral's name for it is "bacterial SSU rRNA". It matches the Rfam family "Bacterial small subunit ribosomal RNA", at positions 8 to 518 of the family's 1533-position model. The record is from RNAcentral.
AGAGUUUGAUUAUGGCUCAGGAUGAACGCUAGCUACAGGCUUAACACAUGCAAGUCGAGGGGCAGCAUUUGAAAGCUUGCUUCAAAGAUGGCGACCGGCGCACGGGUGAGUAACGCGUAUCCAACCUUCCCCUUAGUAGGGCAUAGCCCGGCGAAAGUCGGAUUAAUACCCUAUGUUUUCCGUUGAGGACAUCUGAAGUGGAACAAAGAUUCAUCGCUAAGGGAUGGGGAUGCGUCUGAUUAGGUAGUCGGCGGGGUAACGGCCCACCGAGCCAACGAUCAGUAGGGGUUCUGAGAGGAAGGUCCCCCACAUUGGUACUGAGACACGGACCAAACUCCUACGGGAGGCAGCAGUGAGGAAUAUUGGUCAAUGGACGAGAGUCUGAACCAGCCAAGUAGCGUGCAAGGAUGACGGCCCUAUGGGUUGUAAACUGCUUUUGCAGGGGAAUAAAGUGAGGCACGUGUGCCUUUUUGUAUGUACCCUGAGAAUAAGGACCGGCUAAUUCCGUGCCAGCCGCUGC